AGCCAUGCAUGUUUCCGCAAUCAGGGACGAAUAGCUCAGUAAAACUGCGAUGAUUUAGUCUGGCUGUGUAGAUAACUACGUGAAAAUGUAGCUAAGGGAAGGCAGAAUAAGACGCAGGACUAUCAGUUAGUUGGUAGUGUAAUGGACUACCAAGACAGUGACGGUUGACGGGAAAUUAGGGUUUUGUACCGGAGAGGGAGCCUGAGAGAUUGCUCCCACGUCCAAGGACGGCAGCAGGCGCGAAAAUUGCCCACUCUUUGCAGGAGGCAGUUAUGAGACGUGAAGAUGAGUAUCUUGUAAAGAGGGAUAGGAGAAUUGGAGGGCAAGUUUGGUGCCAGCAGCCGCGGUAAUACCGACUCCAAGAGUGUGUAUGAGAGAUGCUGCAGUUAAAAAGUCCGUAGUCAUAGAAGGGCAAAGAGAGAUGCGAGGUCUCACAGUGCGAUGAUGGAGGAGCCGAUGGGGAACAUAGUAUACCAGGGCGAGAGAUGAAAUGCCAAGACCCCUGGUGGACUGAGCGAGGCGAAGGCGAUGUUCUUGUAGGCAUUCGGUGAUCAAGGACGAAGGCUGGAGUAUCGAAAGUGAUUAGAUACCGCAGUAGUUCCAGCAGUAAAAGAUGCCGACAUGCUCAUUGGACACAGUGGGCAGGGAGAAAUCUUAGAGUUCGGGCUCUGGGGAUAGUAUGCUCGCAAGGGUGAAAAUUAAAGAAAUUGACGGAGCUACACCACAAGGAGUGGAUUGUGCGGCUUAAUUUGACUCAACGCGAGGAAACUUACCAGGCCAAGUAUUGUGUAGAAACGAGCAAUACAGGAGUGGUGCAUGGUCGUUGGAAAUUGAUGGGAUGACUUUGACCUUAAAUGGUUGAAUGAGUGAGAUC
This 874-nucleotide ribosomal RNA is filed under the name Vittaforma corneae. RNAcentral's name for it is "SSU rRNA". It matches the Rfam family "Microsporidia small subunit ribosomal RNA", at positions 46 to 962 of the family's 1311-position model. The record is from RNAcentral. Lineage: Eukaryota; Fungi; Microsporidia; Nosematidae.